UGGUGUGUGUGUGUGUGUGGUUUGUUUUUGUUUUCUUAUUGGAAAUUCAGACCAACUUGUUCUUAUCUGUUUAGAUAACUUUCUGAUACGUCAGCAUGUGUACCUAAAUUAAUUAAUCUUUCUCUUUGUUCACACUACAUUUUGCUCUUGGCAAAAGUGCUGAGCUGACUGUUGUCACAUGUUUUUAAUUUUUGAAAGGAAAAAAAAAUCCAUCUCUCUAAGAUAGACAUGGAAAGAGAAACCAACUGCAGAGAACUCACAGUAAGAGGAGAGCAGUUGAAGGCCUGCCAUGAAUACUUACCAAAAACCUAUGACACUAUUUGGCCUCCUCUCCUUAGCUGGGGAAUUCAGAUUAUUGUGUACCUAAUAGUGCUUUUGUAAACACUUCAGCAUUUAAAAAAUAUAUAUAUGUGCUGCUGGAAAAAGCCUGCCUGACUUAUAAACACAUAGUUACUAGAGACACUAGAACAUAUGCAGUGACUUUUAAAGGCAUAAAAUGUACUCGAACAAUGAGAAAGGGAGUAUUAGAGUGUUCCACGUAUAAAGUAAGCCAGCCCUUCCCCAAACCAGUCCAAACCAGUCCCCUCCAGAUCCUUGGGGCUCUCUCUGGUAAGGAGUAGGGCUCAGCCACAUCCUUGAUUCAUUGGCUUUCUCCUGCUCCCACAGUAAAGUUGAAAUUAUGUCUAAUUUGUCAAGGUAAUGUGUGUAUUUGAUUUGACUAUGAAUCCACUGUCCUGCUUUCAGCUAUCUUAGUGAACUUGGUGUCAAUGAAAAUGUUUUGGAUAUUUCAAGGCCGUUGUGAGUUUUUAGCCGUCGGCCUACCCCCCCACCCCCACCCCCAAGUUCAAAACUGCUAGAUGUUUUAGAUGUCUGUGUUUUCAUGGGUUGGACCUUAGAUUCUUAUAAAGGACAAGGGAAAUGGAGAGGAAAAGGCCAGGCAUGACAUAUUUUGCUGACUCUGAUACUGAGUGCUUGAAAUGUGAGAUUUUCAGGCAGAUGCAUCUUGCUGCCUAUAUCAGGUUAGUCUGUCUAACUGUUCCCUAUACAAAAGAGGCAGCAGCUAAAUCCAGGACUCAUUGCCUCAUCACACUCUGUCUCCAUGUCUUGGUUUGUUUUCUGUUGGUUUGUUUUCCUACUGCUGGAGAUUGAACCUGGGGCCUUUCCACGCUAGUCAAGUGUGCCACCACUGAGCUAUGCCUGCAGCUACAAGAUCUUUAAAACUACUGUCACCCUGGCUAUCAGCAAUGGCUCAUUUUCUCUGUCCCCCACCCCGACGACCCCUGAAAUCCAGCUCUGCUUCCCACCCCAGCCACUGCUUUAUCCACGAUCACAUCUUUAGCUCCGAUUUAGAGGAUGCUUACUGGUCCUCUCAUCGUCUCCCUCUUUGGCCUUUUAUUUCUUUCUUAACAUUAUUCGGUCCCCAUUCCUAUUUUUUCUCUGCUUUCACAGCUUCUUUGACACCCUACCUAAGUGCCUGUGGGAUGUCUGGCAGGGUCCUGGCAUGACGUUCGAGGCACAGGCUUCGGUCCCUUUGUGUGUACUCGUGUCUACCAGCUUUAAUUUUCUUUAGGAAAUGCCACCAACCAGUUGUGUGCAUCAUUCCCAUACCAUGCCCAGUUAGUGAAUUUUACCACAUCCAACACAGACAUAAAUCAUGAAGCCAUCCCAGUCUUGUCAGCCCUGUGGCCAACAGCUGUCAUCUACUUUUGCCCCACUUGCCUUGACCUUAUCAUUUGAUAGUCGUAUAUGUCCUUGUUGUCAUUAAAGGGACUAUUUGGAGAGCAAAGACACAAUUUGAAUGAUAAAUUUAUCACGUCUAAGCUGGAUUAAGCUGCAAUUCAAUAAAAGUGGGAAUAUCUUUGACAAUAUUAGAAAAUGGCAAUAAAAGAUGAAUAAUUUGAAAUUAUCUUAACAUUAGUUAACAUUGACUGCUAACUAAUAUUUCCUAUUGUACUGAAGACUUUGACACAUACAAAUUUUAGAUAGAAUUCCCAUCUAUAAAUUGAUUUCUGUUUUCCCGGAAGAGCAUUUGCAUACCUCUUCAUUAGUAUUUCUAGAUCUGACUAUCGUGGUUUUGUGGCAGUAUUAUAUUGCUGGAGCAGGACUCAGUAAGCCAGUGUCUGGUUGGUACACACUCAGGCUUGUUCCACUUUUUCAUCAUUGUAACCAAGCAUUUUUUUUUAUGUUUUUUGUUUUUGACUGUCUAUUUUCUGAGAAGAUUAUUGCGAGUAAAAUGGGCCCCUUGGAGGGAAAGGAUUGCCUAGAACUUUUAAACUAGUUUGCGCAGUAGUUAUGAUAGGGUUACUACCAGUUUAUGGCCCUGUCCUGACAGAAUAUGAAUUUGUCUUUGUUCUCCACAGUGAUCAUCGUUAUUGUACUUUUGGAUUGUUUUUAAACAGCUACACAGAUGAAUAAUGUCAGUCCAGUUGUUCUAAUUUUAGACAGAUUUCCAAAAUAUUGGGUUAUCCAGUUGCCAAACCCACAAUGGAUGAGAAGCAGGAAAUUGGAGGGAAAAAGAUGACUUGCUACAGUCAGAUCCAUUGGCAGUAGUGUGAGAUACGGGCAGACAGAGCAACAGUGGGCACAGACACAAGAACACCCAAAAGCCAGAAUCCCAAAAUGCACAGUGCAUGGUCCACUGAAUUGAUAUCCCAUCAGCCAUUCUCUGCUCUGAGGUCUAAGGCUUUCACUGUAUUUCAACGCAGUGCCCCAUCUCUGCAUUCUCAGUUCUACUGUGGUGGCACAACUUGGGCUAAUGACUUUUAAAGCUUUCAUUUUUGAUCAAAAAUAUCAUAAAUAAAUAUUGACUUCUUAACUGUUGUCUCAUUUUCUUAAGUGCUAGAAAAAAUAUUUAUGUGAUAGUACAAGAUACUUUCCAAGGAAUCUUCAAGGUCUGGGCAAAAUGGCUACUAGAAGACAUGGUGUCUUGCUUUCAAUGUUAAGGGACUAUAGUGUGUGAAGACAGAAUUAUAUUUUUCUCCUCUAGCUUGGAAAAUAAGUCGCAGGUGCAGAAACAGGUUUCUAAAAAGUAGUGCUUCCUAUUUCUGGCAAGAUUUUUCUCAUGAAAUGUUUUGCAAACUAUUAGGCCUCAAAGGAAUGUUGGUUAUCAAUAAAUAACAGCUCCUACAUUUUACAGAAAAGACAACCAGUGGGUUUUUUUUUCAAUGUAACAGGGUGACUUUAUAACGAGUUCUAUAGUGUGAGCAUGUCAGAGCAGAAUUGAGUGUCUGAUUGUCAGAGUUGCUGAACGAAGAAUGUUUUCAUUCU
This 3267-nucleotide long non-coding RNA is filed under the name Mus musculus (house mouse). RNAcentral's name for it is "long non-coding RNA chr13:114096296-114099563". Lineage: Eukaryota; Metazoa; Chordata; Mammalia; Rodentia; Muridae. The record is from RNAcentral.